This 480-nucleotide ribosomal RNA is filed under the name uncultured bacterium. Its description in RNAcentral is "partial 16S ribosomal RNA". It matches the Rfam family "Bacterial small subunit ribosomal RNA", at positions 28 to 506 of the family's 1533-position model. The record is from RNAcentral.
GACGAACGUUGGCGGCGUGCUUAAUACAUGCAAGUCGACUGAAGCAGUGGUAGCAAUAUCGCUGUGGAGGUGGCGCACGUGGGAGUAACCCGUAGGUAAUCUGCCUUCAGGUCUGGCAUAACUCCGGGAAACCGGGGCUAAUAGCAGAUGAUGCAGCGGCUCGACAUCGAGACAGUUGUUAAAGCUAUGGCGCCUGAAGAUGAGCCUGCGUCUGAUUAGCUAGUUGGCGGGGUAACGGCCCACCAAGGCAACGAUCAGUAGCUGGUCUGAGAGGAUGAUCAGCCACACUGGAGCUGAGACACGGUCCAGACGCCUACGGGAGGCAGCAGUAAGGAAUAUUGCCCAAUGGGAGAAAUCCUGAAGCAGCAACGCCGCGUGAGGGACGAAGGGCUUUUGCUUGUAAACCUCUGUAGUGAGAGAAAAAAAUCCCAAUCUUUGGGACAUGAUGGUAUCUCAAAAGUAGGCCUCGGCUAACUACGU